GUAGGCAUAGUUUAACAAAAACGCUAGAUUGUGAUUCUGGCAACAGGGGUUAGACUCCCUUUGCCCACC
RNAcentral lists this transfer RNA (69 nucleotides) under Bathygobius coalitus (whitespotted frillgoby). Its description in RNAcentral is "tRNA-His". It matches the Rfam family "tRNA". From Rfam's summary of the family: Transfer RNA (tRNA) molecules are approximately 80 nucleotides in length. The record is from RNAcentral. Lineage: Eukaryota; Metazoa; Chordata; Actinopteri; Gobiiformes; Gobiidae.